ACAUCAUGGUGCAUGUGCAGCAGUAAAUCACUCAUUUUGAAACUCAUAAAAGCCAAAGCUUCUCAUCUAGAUUAGGUUUUGGUGCUUUGCCAGUUUCCACAAGAGACUAGCAAGAGAAAGGAAACAGCAUUUUUUAGUAACUUGACUGCAAUCUAACAAAACAAAAGAAAGGCUCAUCUCUUAUCUCAGAGCUUUCUCCCUCGUGAGCUUAUGAACCCCACUACAUGCCUGGUGGAUUGCAUGAGAACCUCAAAAAGAAAAGCAGUUCCGAUGUUUAAAAAUGGUCAGGAGCAGCCUUCAUGUGAGGAAUGAGCAUUGCCCCAUGGUGGGAUCCUGCAGAGAUGCAGUCCGCACCUGGCUGAUGAACGCUGGUGCCUUUGGCUGGCCCUGGAGAGCUUUGGCUGGAAGGAAGAGUAGAAAGUGGUUUUCUGGAUGCUUGCUUUGAGUUCAUUAGAAGAUGGCCCAUUUGAACGGAAGGUCAAACAGAGGAUGGAGCCUGCCUGUCCCCAGCGUGCCCUCUGCCCUGGCGGAAAGAAGGCUGAAACAUGUUACCUUUGUUCCCUGAGCAGCCGGAUGACCUUGUCCCAGUUAAGUGUGAAUCCUUGAAGUGUACGAGCUCGGCACUGAACCCAACGCUCUGCAAUGGCAGCAAUGUCCCUCUGUUACUUGAGUGCUGGCUCAUGGAGGAAAGAAUGACUUUCCAUUUUAGAGAAGACUGGAAGGUAAGUCCUUAAGCUCACCAAAGUAUGUUUGAUUACUUCUCUUAAUAGGAUGAAGAAAUAAUUUCUUCACCUGGAAGGUUUUAGACUUCACAGUAGACAAUUUCUGCUUUUAAAGAAAGAGGUUUUACUGUUCCACCAGCAAAAUUUGAAACAUAAUCUGAGUAUGCUUUCUCUCUCUUUGUGUGUGUGUGUGUGUGUGUGUCUGCAGUCAGUAACUUCUCUUUUUCAUUUUCAUACAAGAUACUAUCGCAAUGUGUAUGUUGUUAUGUAGUGUACUACCAUAUGCUAUGAGAUCUUUUGCAAGGCAGGUGCCAACCUUACCCCCAGGCAGAAGAUAAUAUUUCAAGCCUCAACAACUUGCCAUAACCACUGUGCUAACCACGGUGCACAUUCACUGUCUACCUAAUCAAAUUCUUGCUAUACAUCACAUUAAUGCUGUGCAGUAGUUACCACAGGUCUUGGGUUUAGAGGAAUAUGUUUUCUUAAGAUUUGAAAAAAGUAUGAACUUGACAGAAAGAGUCCAUCUGUUCAAAGGUUAUGCAGUGCCCACUGAGAUUAUUAGUGAAGGUUGCCAUCUACUCUGAAUCCAGGCUGGCAUAGCAGUUAUGUUGGUAUGAAGUUGUGAAAGACUGUUGAGUUUGUUUUUAUCACAAAUGUUCUCCAUAACUCUCUUCAAUAACUCUUCAAAGCUGUUUUUUCAAGGUGAAUACAGAAUAAGUAUCAUUUGACUGUAUCGCAUAGUUGUCAUUGAAGAGUAGCAACACCAUAUCCAAGGGGUUUUUAGUUCUGCAAAAAGCAUACACAGGGAUCUGCAUGAGAAGAAGUGGAAGCUUUCCAAAAAAGUAAGCUGACAAAGAAAUCAAGUAUGUAAUAAAAAAAAGUGAGCAUCAAAGCCACCAAGCUCUUUCUCAAGGGUGCCUUCUUAUGCAGGUAUAUCCUAUAUAGUGCAGCUUAUCCUUUCAGUGGCUUUUUUUUCCCAACAUUUCUUUUUAUAUUAUUUACAGAGAAGAACAUUACUCAUGUUUAAUUGAUAAAUACAGAUAUUUUUCUUCAGCUGAAGAAAAUAAUACAUUCCAUUGGUAAUUUGUUUUCUGUAGGUUGUUUAAUAACUAAAAUGAUGUUAUUAAACCUACAAUUUAGCAUACUUAAAACAAUAUAUAUUAUUUUAUUUCACUUUACAUUCAGUGAAAUUUUUCAGACUUAAAGAUCCUGAAGAGAAUAAUAGGACUAUGUAAAAACAAUCCAAACUUUUGGAGUUGGGAUGAAAGAAAUUUUAAAGAAGAAAUCAUUGGCAGUGGAGUAUAUCAGUAAUGGUAGUGUGUUUCAGGGGGGGUGUGUAGUGGCAAGGAGAAGAUAGGAAAGUAUUUUUACGUAAGUGCCAUUUUAGUAAAAUUAGCUGAAUUCUCUUUCAUAUAUACUAAACUUCCACAGGUAUUGACAGAGGAGAAUUAGGCCCUGCUAUUUAACACAUGCAGUUUUCUAUGUUUAUCUCUUAGCAUUUUGCUUUUACAAGCACAUCUUAUGCUUUUACAAGCACACUUUCCAACAGCUAUCAUGCAAAACACUGUGUAUUUUAUAUGACUGAGAUCAUACCAACUCAUUUCCGUUAAAAGCCACCAAUUUAAUUCCUCCUCCCUGCUACUUGACCUAGGCUCCUUCUGAACCGUUCAGCUGCGGUAACAACUCAAAAGGAAACAGAUAAUGAUGGUAAACUGGGUGUCAUCCUUCUCUUAAUGUAUAGCCAUUGUAAUACAGAUACAGCAGACCAACAAUGACUCAGUAACACCAAGCCUGCAAUUUUGCUGUGUUUGCAAUUUCCAGGAAGAAAAGCAGCUCACGAUUACAUGUAUUAAACUUUCAGAUGAUGUUGAAAUUAUGAUGUUACAUCAUUUAUAUUAUCAGUCAACCUACAGGGAGAGAACGUUAGGUCUUUAUGUGGCCCAGGUGCACAUUUCUUAUAAUUUAAUCUGCACAAAGCAUCCUCAUUUCACAAGAGAACUCUAAUUCAUUCUGUGAAAAACCACAGCAUGCCCACUGUCCUCCCCCUGGUGCAGUCAGUAAAUUACAACUAACAGUUCAUAACUGUUAUCUGCAUUUAAUCUAGCGCCCUUUGCAGUGAGUUCAGCCAGCUUCACUCUACAAGCCAGUGACAUUAUAUAGAAUGCCAUGAAUUACCUUCAUGGAGAUCAUGGAUAGCAAAAGGGUCUGCUUUAGAAAAAAAUAAAAAUAAUAAAUAAAAAUAAUAAAAAGCACACACAGCUAAUUGGUUUUAGACAAAUGUGUGUAGGAAAAGCAUUUGUAUAUGGUUUUCUGAGAACCAAAUCUCAGUUUAAAGAGGAUACAUCAGCAGUAGGAGAGAGCCAACUAUCAUUUGCCUGCCUUCCUCUCUGUUUCUCAUUGUCUUCCUUUUGUUUCUCCAUACUUUCCUUGCCCAGUCUGUCACAGGCCAAGGAUCAGGAUGAUGGGGGAAACUGAACUUUCCUCUUGGCCAGAUCCCACCAACAGCAUCAACGUUGGAAACCCAGGAGUACAGCGUUGGAAAAGAGGGAUUAAUUCCUCUGAGUUAACAUCUAAGGCAAGUGUGUCCAACCUCUGGUGUGCAAGUCAUGAAUAGCCCAGGACAGCUAGUGACAUGGCCCCACAAGAUCUUAAUUUUUUAUCAUUAUUAUGUGACUUUUAGUGAUACUUUUCAUUUGAGUCAAUUGAAUGUAGCUCAAACACGGACUGCAUAGUAUUUUACAACUCAAAAUAUUGUCGCUGAAAGGGUGCAGGGCAGAGAUAACUACACCUCUUGUGCCCACCGUUCACACUCAGUCACCUUGAAACCUUUGUGUGUAACACAUUGCAUGCACUUGUGCCACUUGGUGAGUAAAACACAGUGAUUGUGAUGUGUGUGUACUUUGAAGACACGUACGCUAGACUGUAGUCAGGCAAACUGAAGAAACAGGAAAAUCUAUCAAUAGAAAUAUGGAGAGUAAAUUUUCUCAUUUCGAAUUUUAUACUUUGGCAGUAGAUGGAAGUAUUGAUGCUACAGGCAUGGUUCAACUUGCCAUAUAUAAUAGAAGUAUUGAUUACAAAUAUAGCAUCACUGAAGAAAUGACAUCUUUGGUGCCAUUAAAAGACACAACUAAAUCUCUUGAUUUGUACGAAGCAGUAGAAAUUACAUUAAAGAGAUUUUCUUUAACUUUUGUCAACAUAUAACAUAUAGCUACUAAUGGGCUCUCCUGUGAUGGCUGGUUUAAAAAAAAAAGAAAGAAAAAAGAAAGAAAAGAAAGAGACUUCUAAAUAAUAGGAGAUAAUGCAGUUGAUGUUUGCAACUCACAUUUGAUGAAAUAUUGCUGCAUCAGAUAUCAGGAAAAUUUAUGUGCAAAAGCCUGAAAAUUGAUAAUGUCAUGCAAAUUGUCAUCAAAACUGUGGAUUUCAUAAAGUCCAAAGGAUUGAAUCAUCGCUGAUUCAAGGAGUUCCUUAAAAGUAUGGAUUUUGAUUGUGGGAACAUAAUUUUCCUUUCUAAAGUAAGAUGAUUAAGUCAAGGUAAAAUGCUGAAAACUUUGCAAAGUGAAAUCAAGACAUGUAUGGAAGCAAAAGGAGAAUCUGUGCCAGAACAUGAAAGAAGAAAAAUGGCUCACAGACUUAAUACUUUUGGUGGAUUUGACUACUUGUUUAAAUGAGUUAAACAUGUGUCUUCAAGGUGAAAAGCAACUGAUCUAUGCAUGUUUCCAGCCAUAACAGUAUUUGAAAUGAAACUUAAAUUAUGGCAAACUCAAGUUAUGGCAAUUUUUUUGUUUGUUUGUUUGCAUUUGGAUACAUUAACACUGUCCUGUGAAAUAUUGCAGCUAGGCUUUCUGUUUUGAUAAAGAUAUUAGAGAAGAGGUUUCAGGAUUGCUGAAAAAACAAUCAAUGUUUUGGUUUAUUUGUGACUCCAUUUUUACUUGACAGAAAUAUAUUACCCGCCAUUUUCAAAUGGAAUGUAUAGAACUGCAAUCAAACAUUCAAAUCAAAGAAAAAUUUGAUCAUGUCUCUUUACUUUUUUAAAACCUAUCUUAGCAGGCAAAAAUAUUCCUAACUUCACAAGCACAUCUUAUUCAUGUCAUCACUUUUUGGCAGUAUGUACAUUUGUGAGCCACAAUUUUCAAGGAUGAAGCACAGGAAGAGUAAAAUUUCAUCAAAAAUCUCUGAUGAACGCCUUGAUAGUUCACUAAGAAUGGCAAAUCACUGCCAUCAAACCAGACUGAUGUGUCAGUUUCACAAAAACAAGGUCACAUAUCCCAUUAAUUUUAUGUUUUUAUUGACUUCUAAUUUUUAAUACUUCUUGUUUUCAUAUAUUUAUUGGUACUUAUAUAUGCAAAAUCUUUUCUAUAUUUCAUAUGCUGCCCAUGACAAUUCCUCUUCACUCAGUGUGGCUGAGGCAAGCCAAAAGGUUGGACAUUCAUGCUGUAGAGGAUUGGGAAGCAUUUUCUAAGCAUGCAAAUGUGAUAGAGGGCUGGAAGGUUUGCUUUUUCAUUAUUUUUAUUAAUUUGUUUUUUGUAUUUAUUCUACCUUAAAGGUAUAUGAGCUAGCUUCCAGUGUGAAUAUGUGCUAAUUCCUUUCGAAUUUCUGUGAGGGGCUUAGGAGAAGGCAGAUGACUGUGGAAAGCCAUCUGUCAGAGUAGUGGGGUGCUUGGGAAAAGCAAGCUUGUGUCUGUACACCUAAAAUGUCCCCCAUAUUGCACCAUCUGAGAAAGAUCCUUGCGAUUGUAUGCUUUUAGAGGUGGAAGUACCUUUGUUAUAUUACUCAAAAAUCAUAAUAAAAAGAUUAAGGAUGCUGUUUUGGAACCUCUCCAAAGAGGAGUUAGAUGGUCAGCUCUCAUUAAAAACUGGUGGGAAAAGAGGUGCCAAAAUCCUGGCUUUAAAAUCAUAAAUCUACCUGCACUAAACAAAAGCAAGAGAGAGCUGAGAAAGACAAAUGCCUCUUUAGUUGACUGGAACUAGCUGAUUCCAUGUCAGGUUCAUAGGAUUUAUGAUACUCUUUAUGCUUUCUCAUCUUUGCCUACUCCAAAAUGAAGGGCAGGGAUGGGGAGAAAAAAAUCACCAAGGAAGUGUUACAGUUACUUUGUUUUUGUUUUGGUUUGGUUUUUAAUCACAUUCUUCUUUCUAUUUAAUUCAAGUUUGUUUUUAAAGGAAAAAUUUAAAAAACACUGAUGAAAGAUAUUUCCAGAUGAAGGAACUGCCAGACUUUGUGUCUCCAACCAUUUUACAUCUAUCCAGAAUUCACAAGAAGUGAUUAUCAUCAAUGAGUUAAGAAACAACAACAACAACAAAAACAGAACUGAAGGAAAUCAUUAGCAAUGGCUCCUAGAAAUCACCAGAUAAGGAGUUUCAUAUCCUCUGUAUGGCAUAUCUUCAGGUUGUAGCACAUCAGUAGCAUGGAUCUCAACCAAAGAAAGAUCAGACAGUUGUGAGUGAAUGGAAAAUGAAAGGACAGAGCUGCAGAGAACAUUUUGCUCUUCUACAGCAUUUGGCUGCGAUGUUGGUCAGGGACGUUAUAGCUCCUCCAUGUGUUUUUACCCCAUCAGAAGUUCUCGUUUCCGGAAGUUUCUUGAAGAUAUGCAUAACUCAUAAAGUAGAGCGCAGCUUUGGAAGAAUGAGUUGACACAGACAAGGUAGCAUUCAAAAACUACAACUGAAUUAUACUGCUGCUGGAGAAAUGUGAGCCAAAAAGAAUUCAUCUUGAUAUUCCAAUCAUAAGCAGUGAAUGCAGAGUUUGCUGGUAAUGGGCCUCCUUGAAAGCUGAAAAGGGCCAUGCUGAGAAUGCAGGGAAAGCGAUACUGAAGACAAGGAUGUUUGUGGGACAAGAAGCAAGGCAUACCAUAAUAUUACUCCCAUUCUCCUUGGACCACCGAUUUCAAGGAUGUUCGAAGCAAGAUACAGCUGCCUCUCCGCAGUCUGUUCUACAGGCAUUUAGAAGAAAUGGAAAGAAGGAAUACCCCUGAGGUGGAGGUCAUCCCUGCUAGAUCACAUUUGCCUGCUCUGAUUCACUCUCAGGAGGAGCACUGCAAAGAGAAGGUACCUCUUCAUACAGAUCUUGCUGGAUACAACUGGAUCAAUUGAACUUAUGUGAGAGAGAGGUACAAAGGAAGUAAAUGCAGGUACGUAGAUAAUUUACAGGAAAGUUUAGCCAAAGUAGCUAAGUUUUUACUAACAUACAAUUAGCUGAAAGUGAUGGAUUUUCUUCAAGUGUUGGGUAACUUACUAGUUAAUACGCUGGACCAUUUUUCCUGAAUAUGUUCAGAACUGUGUAGGUUUUUGAGUCUUCUAUUUCUAAUAACAGACAGAGCAAAUUUUAAAGGAGAAGGAAAAAAGCAAAACAAAACACACACACAUGCAUACAAAAAAUGCAAAAACAAAAACAGCAACAAAAACCUCCAUUGGUGGGUUUUGGAAUCUCUUAAUCCUAUUUUUGCUUGUCUCAAUACCAUGUGCAUUUCCUGAAGGGGCUUGUGUGCUGAUCUGCACUAUUACCAUAUGUUCUACAUAUGAAAAUAAUUCGGUGAGAGUAGUUGUCUAUGUUUGUAUGCGGUGCAUAUACACAACAUACAAACACACACACACACACAUUCUUAUUUAUACUCAUAAAUCAUUGCUUUCAAGAACAGAUGCCCUUCUACUGCUCUGUACCUCAGUGUUUCUACACUCGAGAGUGCCUUAAUUUGGAAAAAAUUGCAACUGUCACAGCUCUGCUGCAGUAAUGGUUUUGUAAGAACCAACUUAAUAAAAACAUCAAGCCUCUCUGUUCCAAACAAUUUUAUUAUAGUUAACAACUCAGCCAGUUAUCAAAUAUGUUGUCACCAAUGCACUCUGUCUUCGUGAAUGAUGACAUGGACGAGCCCUGGAUUUCUGUAGUGCUUUACACAUAUACACAGUGCCUUACAGCUGUGUAGCAGCGUUUCCUUAAGGAAUAAAACUGCACAGGAAGUAGAUAGAUGAACCAUGUGAUAACUAUUUUUUGAUGAAAAGCUUCUACAGACAUCAAAUUAGUUUACCUGAAAUAAUUUAAACAACAGUAGAAUAAUUACAAAGUCCACUGUCUGGACCUUGACUUUUCUGAAACAAGCAUACAAUUUUUAAUAAUCAUGACCUUCACCUUCAGCUCUGACCUUUGUCUCUCCAAAACAUACCCCUUUGCUGUAUAUGCAUGGAUGUCUUAACAUGAAUAACCUCCUUAAUGUAGAUACUUAUAUAUCUAAACUUCACAGAGACUUUUAUGUGCCUUGAAUGUAGUUUCUAUGUAAAGUGUGUGUUCAUGUAAAAGCCAUAGUUUUCCACUUAGUACUUUUUUUCAUUAAAAGCACAUUGAUGUCACCUGCACUUUGCCCAGUGGUAAAUCUCUGUUUGAAAUAUGCUGCCUUUUUAUUGUUAUUUUUCAAGAAUAUGCUACAGAAAUGUUCUCUGUGCAUCAGAUGAACAUGGAGCUGGGUAUUAUGCUACACAGCCUUGUACUGAUAUGCAGUUUUCCUCCACUGUUUAAAUGUCUGAUAUUUCAGGGACCAAUUGGUUUAGAAAUUGAAGCUAAGAAACGUUGAAUUGAGAACUGUGACAAAAUGUCAGUUCUGUAGAGUUUUACCUUUAGAAAACACAACUGAGUUUGACUCACUAUGUUUUCUGGUAACCAGCGAAUAGAAAAUGUGUUCUUACUGAUUUUAUUUUAUUUUAUUUUAUUUUAUUUUUUUCCUAUCUCCAGAGACACAUUCAGUGUAUGGUAAACUAAAGCCAUUAUAUUAUUCCAGAAAACAGAUGUGAUAAUUAAGAACAGGAAUAAGUUUCAAAAUUCAAUGGAAAAAAUAGUUGUCAAGUUUAUUUCUGAAGAGAAGCACAAACAAAAUGCAUGCCAAUGUGUGGAUGAUUAAUGGGGGAAUUUCCAAAGUCUUUCCAUUAGUUCCUUUAUACUGCUGUACACAAUCAUGCAUGCUUUGUAUGGCCAUCAUAACUUUACGCAAUAUACUUGACCAUAAUGCCAAUCAACAGUUUCUCCUGGCAAACAGAAAGUGUUAAGAACUUCAAUACAAGAAGACUUUUUCUGCUUCAGAUGGAAUGGAUUCUGUUUGUCAUUAUUCACUUCCUCCUCAACUUGCUCAGUGUGCAUCUAAAUUAAUUCCUGUCACUUAGGUGCUCUCUUGAUAAAUACACGAUCUAUAUUUAAUGUCUCUUUAUUCUCAUUUUAUUAUACUUGUAUGCAGUAGUGAAAGAAGAUAACGGGCAGAGCAGUGUACCACAGCAGAGAAUUUGAUAUUGCUCCUUUUCACUUUUUGGUGGAACAGCUAUAUUUAGCAACACAGACUGUCAGCCACAAAUUGCCUACCUAUGUGCUCACUUUUUCCAAUCCGUGAUAUAGAAUUCUCUGUACUACAUUGAUAAAUAUCACCACGUUUCACCCAUACAGCUAUAGUAAUUGUUUCCAUAGAAACUGAUUAAUUUACAAAUGUUCUGAACUGGAAGAUUAAUUGGAAGAGGAGCAGAGGCGUAAAUCCAGUAUAAUAGGUGCUUGUGUGGGUGCUGUAAGGCUUUUGUUGCCUGUGCCAUAGGCAGUGCUUUAGUUAAGGAAAAUGAGGGGUUGAAAUUCAAUAUUUUAGGUGAGGUGUGAUUUACAAUUGCAAACAUAUAGGAGUGCAGAAGUCAAAAUAAUAAACCUUUGGUAAAUUUGCACACUCCUCCAUUUGCUACAUAUAAUUAUUUCCUGUCUGUGGUAUUAAUUCCUUGUGAGUAAAAGUUUCUCAUAGCAUGUCCUGCUUCAGUGUUGCUAAGUUCACCUAUUGAAUGCAGUUGGUUGUGUGGUGUUAGUUGUUUUUCUUUGUUUGUUUUAUUUAUGUACUUUGUCUAAAAAGCCAUUGAGUUUUUCUGUUAUGGGCAAGGAAAUUUAAAAGUUCCCAUUGUUUUUCAGUGCAGUAAAAAUAUAUUGAGAACUUCCAGUGCAUGCAGGCUGCAUUUAGCAUAAACAGGAAUCACAACAAUUGCUCGUUGUAAAUGAAAAAUCACUUGAAUUUAUGGCAUUGUUUUUUUGAUGUUUCUCUUCACAAAGAGGAAGAUAUUGCUGAGGCUACGAUCAUGGAUUUCCUUGCAAGACUGUCUUCUAGGCUCUUUGUUCUCUUUAGUUGGUGCAAAGUAGUUAUGGUAACUUACAGUGCAAUAAUUCACAUAUCCCACAAAGUUUAUUUGUUUGCUAAAAACAAACUACCUUUUUCCUCCCAGUACUUUGAAUCUCUUCUCGGGCACGCCAUUAGUGAAGUGCUUUCUUUCCAAAUCUGGAAAAAAAAAACAAAACACCAUCAAAUUGAGACUUAAUUUUAAGCUAUUUCUGAACGGAAGUAAUGAUGAAAAUAUGAAUGUUUCACCACGUUGUGAAACAUACAAGUAACUUGGAUUUAAAAACCUGUUUUUACAGCCUGUGCUUUCUAUGUUUAUGUGCUCAGGUCUUGGGGCAGCGAAGGACCCCUUACCCAAACUGUAGGCGCUACAAAUGAGCAAUGCAGUCUGGCCAAAUCUCAGUGACCCCCUCCUGCAGAGCUCAGGCUGGGCACUGUACAUUCCUUUCUGAUACUUUGGUGCUCCAGGAGGAUUUCCAAAAUCCUUUUUCCUGGGUUGGGUGCCUUAUUGAUGUCAAAAAACAAUGAAUAGAAUAGAUAUAGGAGAAAAAGAGGCAGGCACUGUGGGCUCGGUUUCAGGUGUUCAAAGACUCAUAGAAAAAGAUUCAUUCUGAAAAGUGCAUGCAAAACAUGAUUAUUUGGAAAAACAAUUAUUUGGAUUCAUUGAUGUUUAACUAUUCAGAGGGCAUCACUUGAGUUUAUGAAAAGUCAGAAAAAGUGCAGGAGAUACUAGGAUGGAUGCAAGUUUGAGGAAAGUAUCUUUGUUUAUAUUCUGGGAGAUGGGAAAAGGUGACCUCAAUUUUGAAGUUUCUGCUUCAGGACAAUGUUAACGGCCAGAUCAUUAUGUUGCAUAAAAUCUUUUUACAGCAAUAUGCUAUUUCUAACUUUUUAAAAUAUUGUGCAGGCAUAAGGACCAAAUGCCACAAUGGUUUGUUAAUAAAAUUGCCACUUUGCCUAAUACAAGACUAACUCAAAUAAUGUGGAAAACAACAUUUCAAAGUCUUUCAAAUACCCCUUCCUGAAGUAUACAUGUAAUUAAGGCUGACUGAUCUUGCAGUUAGUUAUAGUAGGUGCUGAAGUUAUUUUCUUCCCUGACAAAAGGCAGAAUGGAUGAAAUCCUCUCAGAGAUUUCCUGAUAAUGGUGCAGAUUGUGUCUUUGAAUGAGAGACCCUGAAGUUAUACAGCACUGAUACUCCAGCUGUUCACCUUCUAAUCCCCCAGGUCAGGAAUCGGUCUGUGAUUCACAGGCUUCUGCUGUCCAGGCAUGCACAAAACAUACAGUCUCUCCCCAUUUUGAUAUUAGGCUGCCUUUGUACUUGCGAGCUGAGCCUGGUUUCAUGCUGCAUCUCUUCUCAGAACACCUGCAACUCCUUUAGGUUGUUGUAAUUCCACAGCACAUCACUCUAUUUUGCCAGCAAAAAUAUUGAGUUCAGGCACAGCUGCAUCAAUUAGCUCCUCAAGUCUGCAAAUAGUGAUACUGGUGACAUUUUUUUGGAUGAAUGAGGGACCUACUGGCAAGUACAUAAAUGAAAUGAUCAACAUUCUCUUUCAUGUUUCUUUGUGUUUAAACAUUCUUUUACCAUCGUGUACUUUGAAAGUGACAGUCUUCUGCCCUUAGCUCAUAAAACACUAACAAAUAUUUUGCAUCUGUCACUACCAUGCUUCAUAGAUGCACAGAUGUACAUGCUGAUUAAAUAUACAAGGGCUGCUCUGAAAGUUAUGCCUCCUACUUUAUUAUAUUGGCCCAUGAGAUAAAUGUUGGUGUUACGGCAGUAAAGGUUGAACCUUCCCAAGAAUAUUCUGUUACAUUUUGCUGCCAUGCAACAGAUGGCAGCAGAGGGGCAGUGUGACAAAAUGGCAUCUGACAUGGAAGUGCAUGUGAAAAAAGGGGUGUUAUUGAAGUCCUCCAUACAGAACAAAUGACACCCACUGACAUUCAUCAACACUUGCUGAACAUCAGUGGAGACCAAACAAUGGAUGUGAGCGCAGUGAGGCGGUGGGUGGUCUGUUUUAGCAGUGGUGACAGUUAUAUGAAAGAUAAGUAUGGCAUGCAAGCCCUUGGCAAAAAUGCAUAGCUAAUGGUGGUGCUAAAAAUAGCUUUCUGUAGCUCAGAAUUCUCUCCAUCAAAUAGUGUUAUUGUGCUCUUUGUAUCUGUUGUAGUUUCCAUGGAAAUUAAUGGGAGACAUUACUUCCAGGGUGACCUAUAUGUAUAAAUAUGUAUUUACCUUGGUCAGAGAUAACUGAUAUUUUGUGAUACAAACUACUUUAUUAUACAACUAGUGUCUUAUGAUCACUGAAUUUCAUUAUGUUGUUGUUAUCCUGUGCUGUUCCAGAUAGUUUCUCAUCUUGUUGUCUUUCCACAGAUACCCAGCCAAAGCCAAAGGAACUAAAGCUCACUGUAUCAUUAGGAGGAUGAAUCCCUCCUGUUGCUUUAUUUCUUUUCCAUUUGUUUGUUUUUUCUUUUUGUCUUUUUUGUUUGUUUUUGUCUUUUCUCUUUUUGGUAACUAAAAUCCAGAUCUACUAGGACACAUUUUGAAGAAAAAAAUGUUGGAAUGAUGGGGAAUAUAUCCAUCAACAAGAUGAGGAAAAUAGGAUCAAAGCCCAGGAAAGAGGAAGUCAGUUGGGAGGGCUGUGCAGGUUAAUGUAGAGAUAAAGCAAAUCUUCUGAACGUUUGCCCCUAGCUGGAGCCCUGAGAGACAGGAGAGUAUACAUGCAUUAGACAUCUACUCUACCCGGCUGAUUUCAGGCAAUGAUUUGGAACAGAAGAUAUGAAGAUAUGAGCUCUGCCCUGCUUGGCUUGACACAGAAAAGAGAUUUUCUGUUGAUAUCACUGUUGGGUAGAACUGGUGCUUGACGUUUUCAUUAAAAUAACAGAUACAGCUCUACUUGCUGCUGUAGCUGCAAACUCCCUUGUUUAUAUUGCCUCUGUUUUACUUUCAGGGCAGGAACAUCCCCUUGGUCCUCAGACUGUUUAGAUUCAGGGAAGCAGUGAAUGUCAGUGUGUGUGUAUGUAUUCAGUUCCCUCUCUGUACAUUUAGAAAUUGUAAAGGGAAAUUUAUUGUGAAGAGGGAAAAAAUAUAGGACUGGUUUCUGUCCCUGUGCUAAUAUCAUGGUAUUAACAUAGGUGAAUUGCUGCUGGUUGAUAUGAGCCUGGCUUCCAAGAGGACAUUCUUGUAGCACCUUGAUUGCCUGGGCCACCCCUCCAAGGAGGCUCAGCAGGCAGCCUCAGCCUUUCUUGUUUGCUGUUUUGUUGUUUCAGUUCUCAGCUGGAGAUUAUUUCUCCUUUCUGUCUCCUCUUGAUACAUGAAUGUGCUGUGUCAGGCUUGCCUUCAGGUCAGUGUCCUGUGCAGGCCUCGCCAUGGUGUCAGCAGUAAGCAGAUCUGAGAAGGCCAAAGGCAGGGCAUCAAUGGAAAAUGAGCCUAACAAAUGGGAAGUCAGGCUGGAUGGCCAGCCAUAAUGUCUUUCCUCUCACGAAACAUGACAGAAAGGCACAACAGAAAAGGCUGCUUUUCCUUAUCUUUAGCCUUUCACCUGGGUUUGUUUUUUCCUCUGUCCUAAUGGUUCCUUGUCAGCUUUUUCUGUGUCCUGACUUCCUUUCCCCUGAGCCUCUCUUGAGAGGCAGAGGAACAGGGUCUGAGCAAGGCAACAGUGGGCAACAAGCUAUAAAUUUGACAGAUUAUGAACGUGCUUCAGUGUGCUGUGUAACCUGUAAAUCAAAACCCAUUUUAAGACCAGCAAUGAAUCCCUGUAUAUCAAAAAGCAGGAGAUGUUAGAAUAGGCAGUUGCUGCCUCUUACAAUAGCUCCUCCAGAAACACAUUGUGCAGAGGGUCUUGUAUUCAUCAUUAAAAUUGUUUUCUUUCUUCCAUUAGCUGCUAUGCAGCAUGUAUGUAUUAGAAGUCACGGCUAGUAUGACUUCAUUGAUAAAGCUCCAUUGUAUCCAACAUGAAAAGAGAAUAAAAGAGGUAAUAUUCUCUGGCAUAUCAUGUGGACUCUCUUUUUACAGCAUGGACUUCAAGGGACAGAAUUGUCUCUCGUUAGGUUUUCUUCUCUGCUACUGAAAUCCUGGUGAAAUCCAAGCUCACAAAUUGAGCUUAAAACUGAAAGGGAGUUGAGCACGUCAAAAUGCUUCAUAAACCAAAGGCACAGCAAAGUUUCAGAGAUAUGUUUAAAAUAUGUACAUCUCUUUGACUGAUACUUUAUAGUGAGAGACUGUCACUGUGGGCAGACAAAAAAUUACCCUUCUCUGCUUCAGCAGACCAACCCACAUCCUACCUGGUUAAGUUCACUCCCUCAGCAAGGGAUGUGGAUGGGGACCGCUUCUGGCAGCAAGGAAGGAAGGCAGCAGUCUGUAUUUCCCCACCUCCCUUCUCCUCUCCAGACUAAGAACAAGCACUGAAGUGCGGGACAUGAGGUAAAUGCAAUCGCUAUGAAUUAAAACUUCAGCUCCUUAAGUGCUUUUGUUACUAUUUGGUCAUCUGUUUAUUUUCCCAAGAAAGCUGAACUAUCCAGAGGAUGCUCUGAAAAGAGGGGCUACCCAGAAUUGGGUAUCUGAUGGGCCUGAUCUUGAAGCCAA
RNAcentral lists this long non-coding RNA (14411 nucleotides) under Gallus gallus (chicken). RNAcentral describes it as "lncRNA (ENSGALG00010007208.1)". Lineage: Eukaryota; Metazoa; Chordata; Aves; Galliformes; Phasianidae. The record is from RNAcentral.